This 197-nucleotide long non-coding RNA is filed under the name Sus scrofa (pig). Its description in RNAcentral is "Vax2os1 conserved region 3 (ENSSSCG00070029736.1)". It matches the Rfam family "Vax2os1 conserved region 3". Lineage: Eukaryota; Metazoa; Chordata; Mammalia; Artiodactyla; Suidae. The record is from RNAcentral.
UUUUUCUGCUCGGUCUCUCUGGGGUCGCCUUCCUGGAACACUUUGGUUAUUGAUCCUGCUGAAAGAGCCGGAGUGAGGAGACUGCGCUUCCUUGGGGACGAAGGGAGUGGGGAGAAGGGGUCGGCUGGUGGUUGGGGAGGGAGUUGAUAAACUUUAGGAGAGGACGUGGGGCAAUCCUCUGUACCCCAGGGACGCCC